GUGGGGAAUUUUGGACAAUGGGCGCAAGCCUGAUCCAGCAAUGCCGCGUGCAGGAAGAAGGCUUUCGGGUUGUAAACCUCUGUCCUUGGUGACGAAACAAAUGACGGUAGCCAAGGAGGAAGCCCCGGCUAACUACGUGCCAGCAGCCGCGGUAAUACGUAGGGGGCGAGCGUUGUCCGGAAUUACUGGGCGUAAAGGGUGCGUAGGUGGCCUUUUAAGUUGGAUGUGAAAUACCCGGGCUUAACUUGGGGGGUGCAUCUAAUACUGGAGGGCUAGAGUGCAGGAGAGGAAAGCGGAAUUCCUAGUGUAGCGGUGAAAUGCGUAGAUAUUAGGAGGAACACCAGUGGCGAAGGCGGCUUUCUGGACUGUAACUGACACUGAGGCACGAAAGCGUGGGGAGCAAACAGGAUUAGAAACCCGGGUAGUCC
RNAcentral lists this ribosomal RNA (428 nucleotides) under uncultured bacterium. Its description in RNAcentral is "partial 16S ribosomal RNA". It matches the Rfam family "Bacterial small subunit ribosomal RNA", at positions 354 to 796 of the family's 1533-position model. The record is from RNAcentral.